CAUUCUUCGUAGUGUGAAACUUAAACAUUACUCGCAAGGUAUGACAAUUUGAAGGGAAGGCGAAUACUGAUACUGCUAAAUAGAACUGCCUUUCCUGCUUCAUAUAUGCCACAUCUGUUGGCACGUCAAAGAGAUCACCAGCCACUAGAACAAAUCUGAAAGAAAUCAAAAUAUAUGCAAGUUUAUGCUAGUCUCCUUUCAAGUAUCCUACUCCUUAGUUUGCUACAAGUUCAUCUAGCAAAAGGCAUGGAGACAUUGGGGGCAUUAUCCAAAGGACAAAAAACUAUCGAUCUAAGGUUGUGAGGCAUCAGGAAUUUAUCUUUCUGGAGCUCCCUAUAGAUGGAAGAUGUUACAAAUCGAAUCAGGGCAAAGACAAGUGAAGGGGCGGCAAGACUUGCGGUAACAACUUCUCCUGAGGCCGAUGGAUGUGCUGCCAAGAAAUAUUUGAAGGCUAGGAUAGGAAGUUGGUUCGUGAAUGUCCUUCAGUGGUAGCUCUCCUUUCGCUGGUAGUGUAGUGUGAUGCAGUCUCCUGCCUGAUCUUGGCUCUGCUUAAGUGCUUGUAUUGAUGAUUUGGAAAGCCCAGUUA
Oryza sativa Japonica Group (Japanese rice) is the source of this 586-nucleotide non-coding RNA. NCBI's taxonomy places the organism in Eukaryota, Viridiplantae, Streptophyta, Magnoliopsida, Poales, Poaceae. The record is from RefSeq and is a predicted model, not a curated record.